RNAcentral lists this ribosomal RNA (253 nucleotides) under uncultured bacterium. Its description in RNAcentral is "partial 16S ribosomal RNA". It matches the Rfam family "Bacterial small subunit ribosomal RNA", at positions 524 to 776 of the family's 1533-position model. The record is from RNAcentral.
GACGGACCAUCCAAACGUUAUUCGGAAUUACUGGGCUUAAAGGGUGCGUAGGCGGCGCGGAAAGUUCGGUGUGAAAUCCCUCGGCUUAACCGAGGAAUGGCGCUGAAAACUACCGUGCUCGAGGAAGACAGAGGUAAGCGGAACAGCGGGUGGAGCGGUGAAAUGCGUUGAUAUCCGCUGGAACACCGGUGGCGAAAGCGGCUUACUGGGUCUUUUCUGACGCUGAGGCACGAAAGCUAGGGUAGCGAACGGG